UAAGUAAAACAGACGGUCGCGGCUGCGGCUGCCCUCCAGGGCGGCCGGCAGGUGAGGAAAGUCCGGGCUUCACAGGGCAGGAUGCCGGAUAACGUCCGGUGGAGGCGACUCCAAGGCCAGUGCAACAGAAAUAUACCGCCAGGUUUCGGUUUACCGACGCCUUGGUAAGGGUGGAAAGGCAGUUUAAGAGACUACCGUCCGGCUGGUAACAGCCGGAGCCAUGUAAACCCCAUCCGAAGCAAGACCAAACAGAAAGCGACAGGCUUGCCCGGCCUGCUUUCAGGUAGGUCGCUUGACGCGGCUGGCAACAGCCGUGCUAGAUAGAUGACCGUUCAACGACAUAACCCGGCUUAUCGUUUUGCUUACGUU
Molecule: RNase P RNA, 369 nt
Filed under: Bacillota bacterium
Lineage: Bacteria; Bacillati; Bacillota
Description: RNase P RNA component class A
Rfam family: Bacterial RNase P class A
About the family: Ribonuclease P (RNase P) is a ubiquitous endoribonuclease, found in archaea, bacteria and eukarya as well as chloroplasts and mitochondria. Its best characterised activity is the generation of mature 5'-ends of tRNAs by cleaving the 5'-leader elements of precursor-tRNAs.
Source: RNAcentral